RNAcentral lists this ribosomal RNA (433 nucleotides) under uncultured bacterium. Its description in RNAcentral is "partial 16S ribosomal RNA". It matches the Rfam family "Bacterial small subunit ribosomal RNA", at positions 29 to 507 of the family's 1533-position model. The record is from RNAcentral.
AACGAACGCUGGCGGCAGGCUUAACACAUGCAAGUCGAGCGCAUCCUUCGGGGUUGUCGGCGGCCGGGUGAGUAACGCGGGGGAACGUGCCCCCUUCUACGGAAUAGCCUCGGGAAACUGAGAGUAAUGCCGUAUAAGACCUGCAAGGGAAGGAUUUAUCGUCGGAGGAUCGGCCCGCGUUGGAUUAGGUAGUUGGUGGGGUAACGGCUUACCAAGCCGACGAUCCAUAGCUGGUUUGAGAGGAUGAUCAGCCACACCGGGACUGAGACACGGCCCAGACUCCUACGGGAGGCAGCAGUGGGGAAUCUUGGACAAUGGGGGCAACCCUGAUCCAGCCAUGCCGCGUGAGCGAUGAAGGCCUUAGGGUUGUAAAGAUCUUUCAGCUGGGAAGAUAAUGACGGUACCAGCAGAAGAAGCCCCGGCUAACUUCGUG